CGAAUCGGAUAGUGCGGGAAACCGCAUGAAACUCGCCUGUAAUGCCGGCAUCACCUUCGGGUGACGGCGACUUUUUUCAAAUGCCGCACUUUGCGGCACUUCA
This 103-nucleotide non-coding RNA is filed under the name unclassified sequences. The record is from Rfam.